UGGGGAAUUUUUGGACAAUGGGCGAAAGCCUGAUCCAGCAAUGCCGCGUGUGUGAAGAAGGCCUUCGGGUUGUAAAGCACUUUUGUCCGGAAAGAAAUCCUUGGCUCUAAUACAGUCGGGGGAUGACGGUACCGGAAGAAUAAGCACCGGCUAACUACGUGCCAGCAGCCGCGGUAAUACGUAGGGUGCAAGCGUUAAUCGGAAUUACUGGGCGUAAAGCGUGCGCAGGCGGUUUGCUAAGACCGAUGUGAAAUCCCCGGGCUCAACCUGGGAACUGCAUUGGUGACUGGCAGGCUAGAGUAUGGCAGAGGGGGGUAGAAUUCCACGUGUAGCAGUGAAAUGCGUAGAGAUGUGGAGGAAUACCGAUGGCGAAGGCAGCCCCCU
RNAcentral lists this ribosomal RNA (384 nucleotides) under uncultured bacterium. RNAcentral's name for it is "partial 16S ribosomal RNA". It matches the Rfam family "Bacterial small subunit ribosomal RNA", at positions 355 to 730 of the family's 1533-position model. The record is from RNAcentral.